RNAcentral lists this ribosomal RNA (495 nucleotides) under uncultured bacterium. RNAcentral describes it as "partial 16S ribosomal RNA". It matches the Rfam family "Bacterial small subunit ribosomal RNA", at positions 28 to 507 of the family's 1533-position model. The record is from RNAcentral.
GACGAACGCUGGCGGCGUGCCUAAUACAUGCAAGUAGAACGCUGAAGGAGGAGCUUGCUUCUCUGGAUGAGUUGCGAACGGGUGAGUAACGCGUAGGUAACCUGCCUGGUAGUGGGGGAUAACUAUUGGAAACGAUAGCUAAUACCGCAUAAUAGCAGUUGUUGCAUGAUAACUGUUUGAAAGGUGCAAUUGCACCGCUACCAGAUGGACCUGCGUUGUAUUAGCUAGUUGGUGAGGUAACGGCUCACCAAGGCGACGAUACAUAGCCGACCUGAGAGGGUGAUCGGCCACACUGGGACUGAGACACGGCCCAGACUCCUACGGGAGGCAGCAGUAGGGAAUCUUCGGCAAUGGACGGAAGUCUGACCGAGCAACGCCGCGUGAGUGAAGAAGGGUUUCGGAUCGUAAAGCUCUGUUGUAAGAGAAGAACGAGUGUGAGAGUGGAAAGUUCACACUGUGACGGUAUCUUACCAGAAAGGGACGGCUAACUACGUG